RNAcentral lists this ribosomal RNA (468 nucleotides) under uncultured bacterium. RNAcentral describes it as "partial 16S ribosomal RNA". It matches the Rfam family "Bacterial small subunit ribosomal RNA", at positions 28 to 507 of the family's 1533-position model. The record is from RNAcentral.
GACGAACGCUGGCGGCGUGCUUAACACAUGCAAGUCGAACGGAAAGGCCCAGCUUUUGUGGGGUGCUCGAGUGGCGAACGGGUGAGUAACACGUGAGUAACCUGCCCUUGACUGUGGGAUAACUUCAGGAAACUGGGGCUAAUACGGGAUAGGAGCUCCUGCUGCAUGGUGGGGGUUGGAAAGUUUAGGCGGUUGGGGAUGGGCUCGCGGCUUAUCCGCUUGUUGGUGGGGUAGUGGCUUACCAAGGCUUUGACGGGUAGCCGGCCUGAGAGGGUGACCGGCCACGUUGGGACUGUGUUUCGGCCCAGACUCCUCCGGGAGUCAGCAGUGGGGACUAUUGCACAAUGCGCGGAAUCCUGCUGCAGCAACGCCGCGUGCGGGAUGACCGCCUUCGGGUUGUAAACCGCUUUCGUCUGUGACGAAGCGGGAUUGACGGUAAUGGGUAAAGAAGCACCGGCUAACUACGUG